This 221-nucleotide ribosomal RNA is filed under the name Clostridioides difficile. RNAcentral describes it as "partial 16S ribosomal RNA". It matches the Rfam family "Bacterial small subunit ribosomal RNA", at positions 197 to 420 of the family's 1533-position model. The record is from RNAcentral. Lineage: Bacteria; Bacillati; Bacillota; Clostridia; Peptostreptococcales; Peptostreptococcaceae.
AAUAUCAAAGGUGAGCCAGUACAGGAUGGACCCGCGUCUGAUUAGCUAGUUGGUAAGGUAACGGCUUACCAAGGCGACGAUCAGUAGCCGACCGGAGAGGGUGAUCGGCCACAUUGGAACUGAGACACGGUCCAAACUCCUACGGGGGGCAGCAGUGGGGCAUAUUGCACAAUGGGCGAAAGCCUGAUGCAGCAACGCCGCGUGAGUGAUGAAGGCCUUCG